RNAcentral lists this long non-coding RNA (547 nucleotides) under Homo sapiens (human). RNAcentral's name for it is "HSALNT0336468". The record is from RNAcentral. Lineage: Eukaryota; Metazoa; Chordata; Mammalia; Primates; Hominidae.
UGUCUCUGUAUCCUGCUGGACUAUAUGCCCUUUAAAGCAAGUAGAGCACAUUACUCAUCACUCAAUCUCCAGGACCAAGUUAAUGUUCUGUAUAUAGUAAUGUCGACAGCAACAUCUCCCCCAGGUGUAACAACUAAACGUGUCUCCAGACAUUGGCAAAUAUCCUUGGGCCAUGGAGAAAACAUCACCUUCAAUUGAAAACCACUGGGCCACUCUAAUGCCUUCAAGGGACAGAUCCCAGGUCUAAACCCUAGCCAAAACCCCUUGUGUUAGAGGAGCUCACCCUUUACUGCUGAUGAAAUCUCCAUGAUGAAGUGCUUUCCUGGUGACACCCAGAGAUCGUUUGCUAUGUGAAUGCUUUUCUUGCUCAAAUUUCAACAAACAUGAUUGUACUAAAUCGCUAACACCUGGAAUUUCAAAGACAACAGUGGAAAGGAAAUGAGACUUGGAAUCAAAAGACUUCAGUUUCAAUCUAAAGUCCCUGAAUGUGUAAACUAUUGUGAUUUUUCUUAGCUACAGUCCUCUCACUUAUAAAAUGUUUACUGUC